Molecule: ribosomal RNA, 496 nt
Filed under: uncultured bacterium
Lineage: Bacteria
Description: partial 16S ribosomal RNA
Rfam family: Bacterial small subunit ribosomal RNA
Source: RNAcentral
AUGAACGCUGGCGGCGUGCCUCAUCCAUGCCCGUCGAGCGAACAGAUGAGGAGCUUGCUCCUCUGACGUUAGCGGCGGACGGGUGAGUAACACGUGGAUAACCUACCUAUAAGACUGGGAUAACUUCGGGAAACCGGAGCUAAUACCGGAUAAUAUAUUGAACCGCAUGGUUCAAUAGUGAAAGACGGUUUUGCUGUCACUUAUAGAUGGAUCCGCGCCGCAUUAGCUAGUUGGUAAGGUAACGGCUUACCAAGGCAACGAUGCGUAGCCGACCUGAGAGGGUGAUCGGCCACACUGGAACUGAGACACGGUCCAGACUCCUACGGGAGGCAGCAGUAGGGAAUCUUCCGCAAUGGGCGAAAGCCUGACGGAGCAACGCCGCGUGAGUGAUGAAGGUCUUCGGAUCGUAAAACUCUGUUAUUAGGGAAGAACAAAUGUGUAAGUAACUAUGCACGUCUUGACGGUACCUAAUCAGAAAGCCACGGCUAACUACGUG